Molecule: non-coding RNA, 45 nt
Filed under: Trichobilharzia regenti
Lineage: Eukaryota; Metazoa; Platyhelminthes; Trematoda; Strigeidida; Schistosomatidae
Source: RNAcentral
AUUCAGUGGAAGAGUCCCAACUAGGACGAAAUGCGCAUCCCGGAU